This 1933-nucleotide unclassified non-coding RNA is filed under the name Pogonomyrmex barbatus (red harvester ant). Its description in RNAcentral is "probable ATP-dependent RNA helicase DDX5, transcript variant X1". The record is from RNAcentral. Lineage: Eukaryota; Metazoa; Arthropoda; Insecta; Hymenoptera; Formicidae.
CACUAUGACGCUUACAUCCUGUUUCUCGUUCCUUCAGCUGGCUGGACUAUUCACGGGUGGACGUGUUCUUGCCACCCAACUCACAUUAUCACUGAUAUCGAUAGUCACUGAAGAGUUUACACGGAAAAUAGGAUCACACAUUCCCAACCACUGCAAUGGCAUAUGGUGAACGCGAACGUUCUGAUAGACGAGGAGGAGGAGGUGGAGGCGGUGGUGGAGCACGUGGUGGAGGAGGUAGAUUCGGUGGGCGCGAUGGAGGAGGAGGAGGUAAUCGAUUCAGCAGCAGCAACAGAGACAGCAAUUUCGGGAACAAUAAUUUUAAGAACCGGCAGCCAGGAGAACGUCUGCGCAAGCCGCGAUGGGACAUGAGCACCCUACCACAAUUUAGAAAGGACUUUUAUCAACCGCAUACUAAUGUAAUGGCACGGAGUGUUCAUACUGUGGAGGCAUAUCGUUCCAAUAAGGAAAUCACUGUAAAGGGGACUAACGUUCCAGGCCCCAAUAUUUAUUUUGAGGAAGGCGGUUUUCCAGAUUACGUCCUUAACGAGAUCCGUAGACAGGGAUUUGGUGAGCCAACUGCAAUCCAGGCACAGGGCUGGCCGAUUGCUCUGUCCGGUCGCGACAUGGUUGGUAUAGCACAGACGGGCUCAGGAAAAACGCUAGCAUAUAUUCUGCCUGCGAUCGUGCAUAUAAAUCAUCAGCCUAGAUUGAGCCGGAAUGACGGUCCGAUUGCAUUAAUUUUGGCACCCACUCGAGAAUUAGCGCAACAAAUUCAACAAGUGGCGUCGGACUUCGGUAUGUCUUCGCAAGUGCGAAAUACAUGCAUCUUUGGUGGCGCUCCAAAAGGACCGCAAGCACGUGACCUCGAGCGUGGUGUAGAGAUCUGUAUUGCCACGCCUGGACGUCUUAUAGACUUCUUAGAACGCGGUACCACGAAUUUACGUAGAUGUACAUACUUAGUGCUCGACGAAGCCGAUAGAAUGCUGGAUAUGGGUUUUGAACCGCAAAUUAGGAAAAUUGUAGAACAAAUACGACCUGAUCGUCAAACUCUCAUGUGGUCAGCGACGUGGCCGAAGGAAGUGCGUAAUCUCGCGGAGGAGUUUCUAACGGACUACAUACAGAUCAAUAUUGGCUCCCUGCAAUUGGCUGCUAAUCAUAAUAUUCUACAAAUUGUGGACGUAUGUGAGGAAUACGAAAAGGAAAAUAAACUUAUGAAAUUGCUGGAAGAAAUCUCAAAUGAACCAGAAAAUAAGACUAUAAUAUUUGUGGAAACUAAGAGGAAGGUAGAUGAUAUAACAAGAGCUAUCAAUAGAUAUGGAUGGCAGGCAAUUGGCAUUCACGGAGACAAAAGUCAACAAGAAAGAGAUUAUGUAUUAAACCAGUUCCGGAAUAGCAGGUCUGCCAUCCUAGUGGCUACCGACGUGGCGGCGAGAGGUUUAGAGGCACAUGCGACUCUGGAGUUUUAGAACUCUGCAACUAGCUUUGGAAUAUGUAAUUGAACGGGGCGUGACUGCUGGUCGCCGCCCCCUCGCAACAUGCUAAGCAAACGCUGUGCCUCGGCCACCUUUACCACUCGAAAAACACUCUCACUCUGUACCUGCGACGAUCCAAAGAGGGAAUCUUCACAAUAUAUUGCGGCGCGCAAUUCUUGAUGCUAAUUUGAUGGGGGAGUACAUGUAGGGGUUGAGUGAAGAACGCAAGGUGCUCACUUGAUGUUCCAACCUCUUCACCGAAGCAAUGUACAAGGACCAAAUUUCGAAAUAGCGAGCACAGAUCCAUACUUUGGUGCGGGAGAGAAGGGUGUAAUGUUGACUAAGAAUAAAAAUGUAGAGCUCGCUAAUACGUGAAGCGAGAAUUCCAAUGAGAACCAUCUGAGCUCUGAUUCCUCUACAUUUCCAAAAAAUGUAUUUACAUUUCCAGCUUUAAUCGAAAA